RNA transcript from Lemur catta (Ring-tailed lemur), 711 nucleotides. It is a transcript of the gene named 60S ribosomal protein L14-like, with no coding region annotated. The record is from RefSeq and is a predicted model, not a curated record. NCBI's taxonomy places the organism in Eukaryota, Metazoa, Chordata, Mammalia, Primates, Lemuridae. The transcript has a single exon.
AUGCAACAGUGCCCACAGGGUUUUGUGCAGCGUGUGGUGUUGAGGCACUUCGUGGAGGUUGGCCAAGUGGCUUACGUCUCCUUUGGGCCUCAUGCUGGAAAGCUGGUCGUGAUUGUAGAUGUUAUUGAUCAGAACAGGGCUCUGGUUGAAGGACCUUGCACACCCAGGUAAGACGACAGGCUAUGCCUUUUAAAAUGCAUGCAGCUCACUGAUUUCAUCCUCAAGUUCCCAGUGCCUGCGAGAAGUAUGCCUGAGAAGCCUGGCAGAAGACAGAUAAAUACAAAACGGGCAGCCAAAAGACGGGCCAAGAAGACUGGAGCCAGAGAAAGGAAAGCUAAGCUGACAGAUUUUGAUCAUUUUAAAGUCAUGAAGGCAAAGAAAAUAAGGAACAAAAUAAUCAACAAUGAUGCUAAGAUGCUUCAAAAGGCAGCUCCCCUGAAAGCUUCUCCUAAGAAAUCACCUACUAAGGGAGCUGCUGGAGUUGCAGCAGCUGCUGCUAACAUUCCAGCAAAAAAGAUGACCGCUGCAGGCAAGAAGGCUCCAGCCCAGAAAGCCACAGGUCAGAAGGCCUCCUCUGAAAGCUAAGAAGGGUCAAAAAGCUCCAUCCCAGAAAGCACCUGCUCCAAAGGCAUCUGGCAAGAGAGCAUAAGGGGAUAUUAUAAAAAUAAUAAAGGUACUUUUUGACUUGUUGGCAAAAAGAAAAAAAAAAAA